This 461-nucleotide ribosomal RNA is filed under the name uncultured Bacteroides sp. Its description in RNAcentral is "bacterial SSU rRNA". It matches the Rfam family "Bacterial small subunit ribosomal RNA", at positions 338 to 795 of the family's 1533-position model. Lineage: Bacteria; Pseudomonadati; Bacteroidota; Bacteroidia; Bacteroidales; Bacteroidaceae. The record is from RNAcentral.
CCUACGGGAGGCUGCAGUGAGGAAUCUUGGUCAAUGGGCGCAAGGCCUGAACCAGCCACGUAGCGUGAAGGAAGACUGCCCUUAGGGUUGUAAACUUCUUUUAUAAGGGAAUAACGUCAGUAACGUGUUACUGAUUGCAUGUACCUUAUGAAUAAGGAUCGGCUAACUCCGUGCCAGCAGCCGCGGUAAUACGGAGGAUCCGAGCGUUAUCCGGAUUUAUUGGGUUUAAAGGGUGCGUAGGCGGGAGCGGAAGUCAGCUGUGAAAUUUUAUGGCUCAACCAUAAACUUGCAGUUGAAACUCCGUUUCUUGAGUACACAUGAGGUGGGCGGAAUUUGUGGUGUAGCGGUGAAAUGCUUAGAUAUCACGAGGAACUCCGAUUGCGAAGGCAGCUCACUGGGGUGUAACUGACGCUAAUGCGCGAAGGUGUGGGUAUCAAACAGGCUUAGAUACCCCGGUAGUC